UGUAGACUACUGUUAGAGAAUAUCCCUUCAUUCCUACUGCCAUAGAGAGUGUUGUGAUCAACUGGAACCUCCUGUGUCUUGUCUUGUCUUAGGAACAGUGCUGCUCACCAAGCUGCUCAGAUUAUGGAGUCCCAAGCUAUCUAACAAAGUCAGUUUACUAUAAUUAUACUGGUCUAGAUGCUGGAAUAUAGUUUUAACACACGUAUCUAGUUGGUGUAUUGGUACGCCUCUGAGACUCCUGACUCGGUUAGCCUGAAGAGAAAAGUAUCAGAUAUAAAGCAACAGUUGCAGCACGUUAAUAUGAUGGUGAGAUGAAACUUAUGUAUGGAUACCACUAUCGAUUAUAUCUGACAGGACAAUUUUACAGAUCAUGCCAGACUUCAGAGGAGAAUCAAUCAGAAGGACAGAGAGCUUCAGGUGAAAGGUCUGUGCUAUUGUAACUAUAGCUAGCUACCAUUAACAAAACAUUCCCUUAGAGAAGGGUCAAGUCACGGUUGACGAAGCUGAGUGCCGUCUUGAGUGGAGGGAGUUCAUUGUUAAUAAUGAGAGCACAUACAUCCCUCUCUACCAUUGCUAAUUGUUGUCAUGCCGUUUCGUAGUUGAUAAUGCGUAUUGGUGUCGUCAUGUUGAAUCAUCGGAGACCAGUUGCCAUUUUCCCCACUGAACUGUUCCAUCCAGUGUCUCCACUCCUGGCCUUCCCCACUGGACAACCAGGUGGUAUCGGCUGUCCUCUGUGGGCUGUAGCCUGCUCUCAGUUUAGAUACUGUCAUGCAAUGUCUGAACGUUGUCUAGUUUUAUUAUUGUAUAUACUUUCAUAAUUAUAUUAUAAUUGUUUUUUGGUUUCAGUUGUUAUUCUGGCGUACAUGUUAUAAUUAUUUUUAUAAUACAAUCUAUUCAUGUACAAUUAUGUAACAGAAAAGUUGUUAUUACUGAAUAGUUGUUAUUGUGAUCUAACAA
Molecule: long non-coding RNA, 957 nt
Organism: Halichondria panicea
Lineage: Eukaryota; Metazoa; Porifera; Demospongiae; Suberitida; Halichondriidae
Exons: 2
Source: RefSeq, a predicted model, not a curated record